AAAAAAAUAAAAAUAUAAGUUCCCAGCUACCUGAGUUGCCGAGCCGUGAGGAAGGCGCUCACUUCCGCCUCAGGCCCCGCUGCGUCAGACGGCUGCGCGAAGGGCCGGGCAGCCGCAGAGGGAGAAUGGGACCACUGCUGUUUUGCAUUUUCUGAAAGUGUUUCAAGGCAGAAGUUCAGGUGUCAGAGAGAGCAAUGGAAAGUCACAAGGCAGAAGAAGAGGUGGUGGAUAUUCUUCGACUGAAUGUGGGUGGCUGUAUCUACACAGCCAGGCGUGAAUGCUUGUGCCGCUUUAAGGACUCAAUGCUGGCAUCCAUGUUCAGUGGUUGUUUUCCUCUAAAAACAGAUGAAUCAGGGGCUUGUGUUAGCGACCGUGAUGGACAUCUAUUUAAGUACCUUUUGGAUUAUCUUCACGGAGAAGUUCAUAUUCCCACAGAGGAGCAGACCCGCAUUGCUCUGCAGGAAGAGGCUGAUUGUUUUCGCAUCCCUUAUCCCUACAGCCUGUCAGACCACUUGGCCAAUGAAAUGGAGACAUGUUCUUUAAGAGAGGCGGGAAGUAAUGUUCAGUACGUUUGGAGCUAUUAUUCAGUAGCAGAACUAAAGAAAACGAUGGAUGCCUUUGAUGCCUGGGAAGGAAAAGGUGUUAGCUACUGGUGGGUGCCUCACGAGCUGAUGGAGUGUUGGACUCUGGGAGAGCGGCCUAUACUUGGAAGCCUAUGUCACAUGGCCCCAAUGCGAAAGAGCCGGCUGACGGCCUUCAACGAAGAGGAGGAAGACAGUGUGAAUGGGCGUCGGUGAACGCGGUUGCGGGAGGAAAGGCAGCGCAGCGCUGUGCCCCGUCGAGAGACCCAUCCCUGGUGGGUACCGCAGGUGCUGAGAACGGAGCUGGACACCCGCCUCCAGCUAAGGUUCUGCUCUCCGACAAGAAGGCCAUCCCGCCCCGAGUGAGCGGACUCCCCUGAGUGCCACCGGGCCUUCCCCACCCGCCUGCCCCGCGGAGAGGCUGGUGGGGCCCCCGGAGCUGCCCCCCGACGCUGCCCCCCCCAACCCCCCCGAUGCCCCCGGCGCCUUGGACCUGCGGACUGAGAACCAGCAGCACCAGACGGAUUGAUGGAAACAGGGUCUCAGGACAUCCCGUUUGCCCUCUGAGCUUCCAGCGCGUUUUAUACAAAUAAGUGCCACUCUGCUCAAAUUUGCACUUGAGCUUUACUCCCAAACUCUAGCAAAUCAACGGGAAAUGAGAUCAGAGACAGUGGUGGGGCCAAGUCUGCUGCAAGCAGCUGAAGCUGGUCGACCCUUCCUGAGGGAGCUCCCACCAGCC
RNA transcript from Phacochoerus africanus (Common warthog), 1320 nucleotides. It is a transcript of the gene named BTB/POZ domain-containing protein KCTD18-like, with no coding region annotated. The record is from RefSeq and is a predicted model, not a curated record. The transcript has 3 exons. NCBI's taxonomy places the organism in Eukaryota, Metazoa, Chordata, Mammalia, Artiodactyla, Suidae.